RNAcentral lists this long non-coding RNA (628 nucleotides) under Olea europaea subsp. europaea. The record is from RNAcentral. Lineage: Eukaryota; Viridiplantae; Streptophyta; Magnoliopsida; Lamiales; Oleaceae.
AAAAAAACAAUCGACUUCUUCCUCUCACUCCACCCCCAUCUUCGCAUCUCAUCUCCAUUAAGAAGACAAAGAAAUCGAAGUGGCUGUUCAUUUUCUUUCUCUUUUUGAUGUGUGUAAAUGGGCAUUGAUUUAUUUUUAUUUUUGCUUUCUUUUUCUCGAUUGUGAAGAUGCUGCAAUCGUGUGUCUUUGCAUGGUUGAGCGAAAAGAGAGAGUUUUAAGGUUUUCUUCAAAUGGAUACCAAAGGAAGGCUUGUGACUGGUUCACACAACAGAAAUGAGUUUGUACUCAUCAAUGCUGAUGAGAAUGGAAGUGUAAGAGCUUCAAAAGUCAUUCUUUUUUGCCCUUUUGCAUUUUCAGCUCUCCAAUUGGUUGCAAUUUGCAGCUCCAGUUGGUUUAAAAUUUGCUUAUUUUAGGUUUAUUGACUAGAUGCCAUGCCUAAUUACUUUUCUUCAGUCGAAUUGUCUUUUUAGGAUUCAUAACUUCAUAUUUCUGUUGGUUACAUUUUAAUUUGGGUUUUUAUGGCCAGGGAUGGAGGUGGCGGCGAUGGUGGGCGGGAAACUGAUUUUAGGUUUGAGGUAGGUGUGGGGGUACGGUGAGAGGAAGAAGACGAUUGUUUUUUUAUUCUAAU